Lotus japonicus is the source of this 1501-nucleotide RNA transcript. RefSeq lists it as uncharacterized. The transcript has 5 exons. Lineage: Eukaryota; Viridiplantae; Streptophyta; Magnoliopsida; Fabales; Fabaceae. The record is from RefSeq and is a predicted model, not a curated record.
CAAUCGGUUGAUUAUUUCGCGGGCAUCGACGGUUGUUCUGUUAUUCUGAAUCACGAAUCUCUACAAACGGUUCCCGAGCCUAAAACUGUGCUUAUCUUCGCAUCGAUUUCCCCUGCCGGUGGCGGUGAGCCCGCCGUUCAAACCCGAUGACGUAUUUGGAGGGGAAUGACGGUGGUCGCUCAAGGGAGGGCGAUGGUGACUACGUUAAAUUACGGUGGGGAACUCAAGAUUCUCAAUCGGAGGUCGCACUUCCUUCUCCGCCACCGCGAGGUGCUGCGAAGCUAUGGUUUUGGGUUAAAUUGGUGGCGUCUUUCCUAUGUCUAGGGCUAUUGGCUUUCAUUGUUUUCCAAUGGGUUGGACCCUUUUUUAUAGAAAAGGUGAUUAUUCCAAUAACAAAUUGGGAGAGGAACAGAUUCAGUCCUUCGGAGUUAGCGGUUAUGUUGUUUGGUUCUAUAGCACUAUUUCCUACCUUGCUUUUGCCCUCUUCACCUUCCAUGUGGAUGGCUGGAAUGCUAUUUGGUUAUGUUUUAGGAUUCAUGCUAAUAAUUUCUGCAGCUGCUGUGGGAGUAUCCCUCCCCUUUUUCAUUGGUUCAAUCUUCCAUCGCAAAAUCGAAGGGUGGUUAGAAAAGUAUCCAAAGAAAGCUUCUGUUUUAAGAUUUGCCGGUGAAGGAAAUUGGUUUCAUCAGUUUCAAGCAAUUACUUUAAUAAGGAUUUCUCCAUUCCCGUAUAUUCUCUUCAACUAUUGUGCCGUCGCAACAACUGUUAAGUAUGGCCCUUACUUGUGCGGAUCCUUGGUAGGAAUGGUGCCAGAAGUACUUGUUUCACUCUAUACGGGAAUUUUGAUCCGAACGUUGGCCAAUGCUUCACAUAAAGAGCACACUAUAUCUGUCGUGCAAAUUGUCCUCAAUGUUGUUGGCUUGUGCAUAACUGUAGCUACGGUAUAUUUUAUCACAGUCUAUGCUAAGAGGCGGCUCAAAGAGUUACAGAAAGGGGAUGAGCUGCUAUUGCAAUAAUCCUGUAGUUUUAGUCUGGGUUCAUUGCUGACUGCAUGAGGCUGCUUCCAAUAACUCUCAUAUUGCCAUAUAUUGAUGAACACGACAUAGCUGAGUGUGGUCUUCUAAGAGGUAGUAUAUACAGAAAACAUGAUUGUAUAAUUGGGGGGAGAAGCGCAUCUUUGGAAACUUGUUCAUCACGAUGAAGUCAAAUCUUUGAUGGACAGAAGCAGCUUCUCUUAACUUUGGCUUCUGCCCACCACAAUUUUAGAUUCACUGUUGUUUUCGAACGAGUUUCCUUUCUUUCUAGUAAAAUUGCUUUGAUCUUUUCCCCUUAAUGAUACCUUGUCACUUGUAUCAAUGUUUGAAGAUUUAUACAUGUGCGAGCUUGUCAUGAUAGUUGUAAUGAAUAUGGUAAAAAUAUCCAGGCCAUUCAUUCAAGGGGGAUUUACUUUGCCAACUAAGGCAUAGAUUGGAACAUUAAAAUAUAUACGUCACUUCCUGUAUAA